RNAcentral lists this ribosomal RNA (253 nucleotides) under uncultured bacterium. Its description in RNAcentral is "partial 16S ribosomal RNA". It matches the Rfam family "Bacterial small subunit ribosomal RNA", at positions 524 to 776 of the family's 1533-position model. The record is from RNAcentral.
GACGAACCGUACAAACGUUAUUCGGAAUCACUGGGCUUAAAGGGUGCGUAGGCGGCCCGAAAAGUUGGGUGUGAAAGCCCUCGGCUUAACCGAGGAACUGCGCCCAAAACUGUCGGGCUCGAGGGACACAGAGGUAAGCGGAACUUAGGGUGGAGCGGUGAAAUGCGUUGAUAUCCUAAGGAACACCAGGAGCGAAAGCGGCUUACUGGGUGUCUUCUGACGCUGAGGCACGAAAGCUAGGGGAGCGAACGGG